Molecule: long non-coding RNA, 922 nt
Filed under: Ananas comosus (pineapple)
Lineage: Eukaryota; Viridiplantae; Streptophyta; Magnoliopsida; Poales; Bromeliaceae
Description: long non-coding RNA (ACOM_LNC027330)
Source: RNAcentral
UUUGUGGAACGUGCUGAAAUAAAUUAAGCUUCUGAAAGUAGAUGACAGAGGCUUAGUUUGGUAUUGAAACUCAUAUGAAGUUAUUAGAUAAAAUGAAGUUGGAGCAAAAGCAUAUAGAAAUAUAUACUUUUGUGUUCUCCUGUGGAAUUAAAAAAAAUAUAUCGUAAUCGACUUAUCGCGAUAUACGGAACCUAAUAUUAUGUACGGAAACAAAUAGAACAUUUUUCCAUGAUACUUUCUUACUGUACAUAACGCAAUUUUUCCGUAUCCCAAAAGAAGCCAAAUCUUCUUUUAAAAUUUCUGUUCUGCUACAAAGGAUAGAUUUUUAUUUUUGUAAUGAGAAAUCCAUCACAAUCCCUUAACAUGAGUUGAAAAGCCGAGAUCUUAGUAAAAACAAAGAUUUUAAUGAAAGUUUUUUGUUCUUGUUAAUUUAUGAACUUAACUAGGUUGUUGUAUUCUUUUUCCAAAAUGAAUUUAGCUGGAAAUUUGAAGUAACUAGUUAAACUUCGAACUUGAGACCUCAGAUACCGAUCGUUAAAUUUUUUACUAUUUGCAUUAGGAAUGGUCAGUUAAAAAUGUUGAAUAUAAAAAUUAUAAAUACUGUUAUCAAAUAGCUAAGUUUUUGAAAAAUAACUUUUGUUUUGCAUUAUUUAACAUCUUACCAGAGCAGGAGGUCCGUUCUCUGAUAGUUUAAGUAUCUCAUUUAAUUUCUUUCAAUUUAAUUAAGCUCAAAUAUUAAGUAUAUUAAAAAAUUUCUAGCCUAAACGUGAAGCGGGGUGUUGAAUAUAAAUUAUAUAAACACUAUUAUCUGAUAGCUCUUCUUUUUUUUAAAAAAAAACUAAUUAUUUUAUAAUUUUUUUAACAAAAAAGAAACUCCAAUUAAUACCACUUUUAUUUUUACCAAAGAAACUACAAAAUCAUU